Molecule: ribosomal RNA, 518 nt
Filed under: uncultured bacterium
Lineage: Bacteria
Description: bacterial SSU rRNA
Rfam family: Bacterial small subunit ribosomal RNA
Source: RNAcentral
AGUUGAUUAUGGCUCAGAUUGAACGCUGGCGGGCAGGCCUAACACAUGCAAGUCGAACGGUAACAGGAAGAAGCUUGCUCUUGCUGACGAGUGGCGGACGGGUGAGUAAUGUCUGGGAAACUGCCUGAUGGAGGGGGAUAACUACUGGAAACGGUAGCUAAUACCGCAUAACGUCGCAAGACCAAAGAGGGGGACCUUCGGGCCUCUUGCCAUCGGAUGUGCCCAGAUGGGAUUAGCUUGUUGGUGGGGUAACGGCUCACCAAGGCGACGAUCCCUAGCUGGUCUGAGAGGAUGACCAGCCACACUGGAACUGAGACACGGUCCAGACUCCUACGGGAGGCAGCAGUGGGGAAUAUUGCACAAUGGGCGCAAGCCUGAUGCAGCCAUGCCCGCGUGUAUGAAGAAGGCCUUCGGGUUGUAAAGUACUUUCAGCGGGGAGGAAGGGAGUAAAGUUAAUACCUUUGCCCAUUGACGUUACCCGCAGAAGAAGCACCGGCUAACUCCGUGCCAGCCGCUGC